GCCGACACUUAAUGAGAAUCAUAUUAUUGCAUAAAUUAAAACAAAAAAUCCAAAAAGAUCCCACCAUUACCAAGGAUCCAUAUUAAAAUGGCAGGAUGGAACAAAGAAUUUGCAAUUGAUAAAUUACAGGAAAAGCCCGAGAAACAGAAAACUUAUUUCUAUGUACAUAGCCAAGUCACACUUCUCACACCAAGACAAACAUUUUAUGCCCUCCAUAAACAGAGAAACAUUCAGCAGCUUGACUCGCAUUGAAUAACUGACUUUUACACUUGAGAAAAGGAAAGGACAAAAGAACCAAACACGUUGCCAUCUCCCUGCCUAAACAUAUUCUACAGAUCUCGAUCCUGUUCCCUCACAUAACUAUCUCUGGCUUCAAAAUGCUUGAUUUGAUCUCUUUGUGAGGCAAAACCACACCCCCAUUGCUGUAAAUUUCAUCGCAUACAUGCACAUCUUCUCCAAGGAUUGUCAUGUUUUCCACACGAGCCCAUUGGCCAACAGUGGAGUGCCACCCUAUGAUGCUGCUAGAAAUGCAAGCGUGCUUCUUGAUGCGAACUCCACGCAUCACGGUGCAGCGAGAGAGUCUAACUCCUGACUCAACAACACAGCCUGGACCUAUUGCAACAUCAGGUCCAAUCAAGCAUCCGUCUCCAAUCUUGGCAGUCUCAUCCACCAAAACAUUUCCCACAACAUGCGGGCCAGUGGCUAACCUAGAUGAGGAUUUCUUUCGCAAGGAAUCUAGAUAGAGUCUCAGACCAGUAAUGUAAUCUCUUGGCUGUCCAAUGUCCAUCCAAAAGCCUGGGAGGACCAUUCCAUAGAGCUGUUUAUCUGCUGCAAUUUUUGGGAAGACCUCUUUCUCAAUUGAGGUGGGUCUAAGUUCAAUUCGAUUAAGAACAGAUGGGUUCAAGAGAUAAAUUCCAGCAUUGAUUUUGUUUCCAACAAAUAUUUUUGGUUUUUCCACAAAUCGCUCAACCUUCCCUGUGGAUUCUUCCAUAACCACCACACCAUAUUUUGAUGGCUCAUCCACCUAUUAUGUAAGGUCAAAUGAUUUCAAUCAAUUGACAAUUGCCUUUUAGAUUCAAAGCAUCACUAGGGAAGAAUUUACUAAGUUAUAUACUAAUUAGUUGAGUGGAAUUGUUACCUUCGUCACCAUUAUGGAAGCCUCUCCUCCAUGGGCUUUGUGGAACUCUAUUAUUUCUUUGAGUGGGUACUCACUGAUGACAUCACUGUUGAGAACAAAAAAUGGUUCACCAGAAUCAUCAAUCAAUUUGUCCCUAGCCAGAGCCAGAGGACCAGCAGUGCCAAGUGGCUCGGUCUCUUGUGAGCAUGUGAUCUUGAUCCCUAGCUUAGCCUCGAAUUCCUUCAAGAAGUUCAACAUUACCUCUGGUUGGUAGUUAAUAGCCAAAACCACUUCAGUCACUCCAAUUUCCUUAAGUGCCUCAAUCUGAUGCAGGAUCAUAGGUUUGUUGGCAAAUUCAACAAGUGGUUUAGGUACACUGAGGGUCAAUGGCCUCAACCGAGUCCCAAACCCACCAACAAGAAUAAGCGCCUUCAUUGUGGAUGCCUGCUGCUUUUCCUCCAAUUUGGAAUAUUGUGUAAUAGGAAAAACAUCAAAUAGAACUCUGAUUGGCUCAUAAAAGGCCAAAAAACUCUAUGGAAGUGACCAUACACACACGAAAUUGCACUGAAGCAACUAAAACCGAAACAAAUCCCUCUAAAAAUACUGGAUCUAACAAAAAACUAUGAAGAUUCUUAUUAAUUAAUGAUAAAUUCCCUAAAGAGUAGGGGGAAAAACACAUAAAAUGACAAUUAAAAACAAAAGAAAUAACAAAAUGAAAAAGUAAAAAGUCAUAAUAUAGUUAAACAUUAUCCACAUUGUUGUAUUUAGCUGAAGAUCCAAAUGAAACCGACACCAAACGACACCGUUCACAUCUCGAUAAAAACAUAAUGGCACAAUCAAAACCGCAAUGUAAACCACAGAUCAAAUUAAUGCUCGUAAUUAUCACAUUAGCAAAAGUAACAGAACACAAGAUCAAUAAAUGAUUACCUUAACCAGAUCCAAUCAAAAAUCCGAAUCGAGUCCCAGAACCGGUGCCUGAACCAGAAUCCCGGGCGAUUCAGCGCGGCGGGAACUGAGCCGACUCGGCGCUUUGCUUUGGAGUCUGAAAUGCACCCAGAGCGUUGGUCAAGAGAAGGACGAUGACGGGUUACUUAUACAAAGGAGGAAGUAAAAAUCAUCAACUGCCGUGAACUUAGCGGAUUUGAAAUAAAAUAUUAAAUUUUAUUUUGAGAUAACUUUCCUUUCAAUUAAUUAAAGUAAGGGGUAGAAUUUAAAUUGAUAGAAGUUUCGAGGCAGUUUCAUAGUUUGGCAGAUUUU
RNAcentral lists this unclassified non-coding RNA (2374 nucleotides) under Hevea brasiliensis (rubber tree). Lineage: Eukaryota; Viridiplantae; Streptophyta; Magnoliopsida; Malpighiales; Euphorbiaceae. The record is from RNAcentral.